UGACCGGCCAGACUUAAAUUCCUGUAAUCAUGCUGCCAGGUCCCGUCUGUAAAAUAUUUCUUUGUCGAUGUCUAAUAUUUUUAGCAUAAACAGCGAUGCGAAAGUCGUCGAAGCAUUGCGAGUGCCCUCUUGUGUUUUCCGUUGAAUAGAGCAUACCGAGUUGCGUAACAAUUUGCAUAUGACAUGCAGUGCGAAAAAGUCUUUUAUUCCGUGCAGUGUUUCAAAAGCAUAGGGCUUCGGACGCACAUUCCGUGAAUUUUUCGCUAGUUUUCUUGGAGAGUAAGCAAGCAUGGGUAGGUCACUUGACUGCUUGUCGUUGCUGCUGCCAGCCACACCUUAUUGCGAGCCAGCUUGUCUAUAUUUUGCUGUGUUUCUCACGUGGUUUUGCCAUGGUUAGCACGCCGCAUGUGCAUACACAUAUCAUGUACAUGCAUAUCGUGUAGUUUGCCCAAACAUCCCGAGGCAUAGGUACACAGGCCACAACUGCUCCGCUACUGCUUGUGGUUCUGUGGUUCCUGAGUGGUCACAAAUAGAGAAGCCUUCUCGAGUAGACCAGUGUAUCCCAUAUCCAGCAUCCAUAAUAUUUGGGUACGUGUGUAAAACAUUAUUGCUUGAAAUGUGCCUUGGAAAUUGGAGAUUUGGAGAUUUGGAGAUUUGGAGAUUAAUGUGUUGUAAAAUUAUUGCAUAGCAAGUGCUUAUGGAGAUUAUUUCUCCUUGAUUAAAUUUUUAUGCCUUUAAUAUUUUUAUGCCUCUCUAAGAAAUGUACUUGUAAAUUCGCAGCAAAAACAUUUCUAUGGAACAAAUCAAUGGAAAUUGAGG
Molecule: long non-coding RNA, 819 nt
Filed under: Patiria miniata (bat star)
Lineage: Eukaryota; Metazoa; Echinodermata; Asteroidea; Valvatida; Asterinidae
Description: uncharacterized LOC119736011, transcript variant X2
Source: RNAcentral